Molecule: long non-coding RNA, 712 nt
Organism: Oreochromis aureus
Lineage: Eukaryota; Metazoa; Chordata; Actinopteri; Cichliformes; Cichlidae
Exons: 3
Source: RefSeq, a predicted model, not a curated record
GCUUCAGGGGCUGUUCGUGAGAAAGUGAUUAUGAAAAAUGAAAACUGAAAGACAAAAAUCAAGAUUUUUAUUGGUGUCUCAGUUAAAAACAUUUAAGUGGUUAAAAACAUUUUUAUCUUUCGUUUACAAAGGAAUGUCACUGUGGCAAUUACAGGUGGUUAAGAGAUUAACAUUCCCUGCACAUCACCACCUGUCAUGAGACACUUCCUCAUACCAAAUCAUUCAGCGAGGAGAAAGCAGAUAAAAUGCGUGUGAGUCAAAGUGAGGCUGUGUUUGGAGGUGUUUGCGCACAGAGAUGAACACAUUUACCAUGUCUCUCUCUUUGCUACUGCUGCUGCUGGUUUACAGCACGCAAGCUACUCAUUUUUAUGGGACAGUGAUGACCUAUUACCCAGGAGACACUUAUGCAGAUGGAUCAGUUAUGGCGACUAUUCGAUACAAGCUGAACUUCCACCAAUGCACAGACAGUGACACAUGGAGUUGCCUCAGUGGUGACUGUGGCUCUGGGAACAACACACUAUAUGAGGUAAAACAGGAAAGCAGUGGAGAGUGGUGUCAGAGAGAGGGAAUCAUGACUUGAUGGGCUCCCAGCAAUGCUCCGUUCAAGCUUUGGUUGAAUAGUGGUAACUGGAUUAAUGGCAUUGUAAAUGGCAUUGUAUCAUGGAGAGCUGUGACUCUGGUGGAACUGAGGAACAGAUCUGACACCGCAAAA